GUAGUCUCGCACAGAUGCAUAUCAAUAAGCGGAGGAAAAGAAACUAACAAGGAUUCCCCUAGUAACGACGAGUGAAGCGGGAAGAGCUCAAAUUUGAAAUCUUAAAGGGUUUCCCUUUACGAAUUGUAGUUUAAAGAAGUGUUUUCUGUUGAGGUUUUGGUAAAAGUUCUUUGGAAUAGGACAUCAUAGAGGGUGAGAAUCCCGUAUUUGACCUUUACUUUCAACUUUGUGAUACACUUUCAAAGAGUCGGAUUGUUUGGGAAUGCAGUCCAAAAUGGGUGGUAAAUUUCAUCUAAAGCUAAAUAUUGGCGAGAGACCGAUAGCGAACAAGUACCGUGAGGGAAAGAUGAAAAGAACUUUGAAAAGAGAGUUAAACAGUACGUGAAAUUGUCAAAAGGGAAGCGUUUGACACCAGUGUUGUUUUUCUGAAAAUCAAUUAAAGAACUGUUUAUGCUAAGUUGUUUAGACUUUAUCAGCUAUCUGUUUAGUUUUGAGCUUUUCUUUAAUGCACUUCUCAGUUAACAAGUCAACAUCAAUUUCUUUUGCUGUAAAAAAGCUUGAGGAAGGUGGCUUGAGAUUCGUCUUAAGUGUUUAUAGCCUCUUGCCUAUGCAGUCGGAGAGAUUGAGGUCUGCAGCGUAGAUCCUUCGGGGCUAAAUGCAUUUGUGCUAAGUUAUAACAUUUUAUAGACAACUUGUUGACUAUGAUUUGUCUUGUAGCUUACUCGCUUAUGUUAUUUUACCUACGCUUAGGAUGUUGAUCUGUAGUGCGUGCGC
This 774-nucleotide ribosomal RNA is filed under the name uncultured Neocallimastigales. RNAcentral's name for it is "partial large subunit ribosomal RNA". It matches the Rfam family "Eukaryotic large subunit ribosomal RNA", at positions 24 to 646 of the family's 3401-position model. The record is from RNAcentral. Lineage: Eukaryota; Fungi; Neocallimastigomycota; Neocallimastigomycetes; Neocallimastigales.